UGAACGCUAGCGACAGGCCUAACACAUGCAAGUCGAGGGGCAGCACAAGGAGCAAUCUGAGGUGGCGACCGGCGCACGGGUGAGUAACACGUAUGCAACCUGCCUGUAAGCGGGGAAUAACCCGUUGAAAGACGGACUAAUACCGCAUAAUACUAAAUUACUGCAUGGUAAUUUAUUUAAACAUUUAUGGCUUACAGAUGGGCAUGCGCAUGAUUAGCUAGUUGGAGAGGUAACGGCUCCCCAAGGCAACGAUCACUAGGGGUUCUGAGAGGAAGGUCCCCCACACUGGUACUGAGACACGGACCAGACUCCUACGGGAGGCAGCAGUGAGGAAUAUUGGUCAAUGGACGAGAGUCUGAACCAGCCAAGUCGCGUGCAGGAAGAAUGUCCUUAAUGGAUUGUAAACUGCUUUUGCAGGGGAAUAAAGUGCAUCACGUGUGAUGUUUUGUAUGUACUCUGCGAAUAAGGAUCGGCUAACUCCGUGCCAGCAGCCGC
This 495-nucleotide ribosomal RNA is filed under the name uncultured bacterium. Its description in RNAcentral is "bacterial SSU rRNA". It matches the Rfam family "Bacterial small subunit ribosomal RNA", at positions 30 to 518 of the family's 1533-position model. The record is from RNAcentral.